This 408-nucleotide ribosomal RNA is filed under the name Fusobacteriota bacterium. Its description in RNAcentral is "Fusobacteria bacterium partial 16S ribosomal RNA". It matches the Rfam family "Bacterial small subunit ribosomal RNA", at positions 355 to 776 of the family's 1533-position model. The record is from RNAcentral. Lineage: Bacteria; Fusobacteriati; Fusobacteriota.
UGGGGAAUAUUGCACAAUGGACGGAAGUCUGAUGCAGCAACGCCGCGUGCGGGAUGACGGCCUUCGGGUUGUAAACCGCUUUUUCUCAUGACGAAGUUUUUUGACGGUAGUGGGGGAAGAAGCACCGGCUAACUACGUGCCAGCAGCCGCGGUGAUACGUAGGGUGCGAGCGUUGUCCGGAAUUAUUGGGCGUAAAGAGCCUGUAGGCGGUUUGUCGCGUCGAUAGUGCAAACUCAGUGCUUAACGCUGAGCCUGCUGUUGAUACGGGCAGACUAGAGGAAGGUAGGGGAGAAUGGAAUUCCCGGUGGAGCGGUGGAAUGCGCAGAUAUCGGGAGGAACACCGGUGGCGAAGGCGGUUCUCUGGGCCUUUCCUGACGCUGAGAAGCGAAAGCGUGGGGAGCGAACAGG